Molecule: ribosomal RNA, 239 nt
Filed under: uncultured bacterium
Lineage: Bacteria
Description: partial 16S ribosomal RNA
Rfam family: Bacterial small subunit ribosomal RNA
Source: RNAcentral
GAUCAUGGCUAAGGAUGAACGCUGGCGGCGUGCUUAACACAUGCAAGUCGAACGAAGCACCUUGAUUUGAUUCUUCGGAUGAAAAUCCUGGUGACUGAGUGGCGGACGGGUGAGUAACGCGUGGGUAACCUGCCUCAUACAGGGGGAUAACAGUUAGAAAUGACUGCUUAAUACCGCAUAAGACCACAGCACCGCAUGGUGCAGGGUAAAAACUCCGGUGGUAUGAGAUGGACCCGCGU